This 465-nucleotide ribosomal RNA is filed under the name uncultured bacterium. Its description in RNAcentral is "partial 16S ribosomal RNA". It matches the Rfam family "Bacterial small subunit ribosomal RNA", at positions 338 to 795 of the family's 1533-position model. The record is from RNAcentral.
CCUACGGGAGGCAGCAGUAGGGAAUCUUCCACAAUGGACGAAAGUCUGAUGGAGCAACGCCGCGUGAGUGAAGAAGGGUUUCGGCUCGUAAAGCUCUGUUGGUAGUGAAGAAAGAUAGAGGUAGUAACUGGCCUUUAUUUGACGGUAAUUACUUAGAAAGCUACGGCUAACUACGUGCCAGCAGCCGCGGGAAUACGUAGGUGGCAAGCGUUGUCCGGAUUUAUUGGGCGUAAAGCGAGUGGAGGCGGUACAAUAAGUCCGGUGUGAAAGCCUUCGGCUCAACCGGAGAAUUGCAUCAGAAACUGGUGAACUUGAGUGCAGGAGAGGGAAGUGGAACGCCAGGUGUAGCGGUGGAAUGCGUAGAUAUAAGGAAGAACACCAGUGGCGAAGGCGGCUCUCUGGUCUACAACUGACGCUGAGGCUCGAAAGCAUGGGUAGCGAACAGGAUUAGAUACCCGUGUAGUC